RNAcentral lists this ribosomal RNA (254 nucleotides) under uncultured bacterium. RNAcentral's name for it is "partial 16S ribosomal RNA". It matches the Rfam family "Bacterial small subunit ribosomal RNA", at positions 524 to 776 of the family's 1533-position model. The record is from RNAcentral.
UACGUAGGCAGCGAGCGUUGUUCGGAGUUACUGGGCGUAAAGGGUGUGUAGGCGGUUGUUUAAGUUUGGUGUGAAAUCUCCCAGCUCAACUGGGAGGGUGCGCCGAAUACUGAAUGACUUGGAGUGCGGGAGAGGAGAGUGGAAUUCCUGGUGUAGCAGUGAAAUGCGUAGAGAUCAUGAGGAAGACCAGUGGCGAAGGCGGGUCUCUGGACAGUUCCUGACACUGAGGCACGAAGGCCAGGGGAGCAAACGGG